AUCAAUAAAGUUUUAUUUUUUAUUUCUUCAUACUUCCAAAAUAAAGCCCAUGAAUUAUAACUUAAAGUUACUGACAACAAGAAUUAAAAUAAACUCCAAAAACCCUCAUAGGAAAAAAAAUAAUUAUUUACGGGAAAAAAAACUGAGAAGGGGAUAAACAUUCUUAACAUGAGUUUGUUAAUAAUAAUAAUGAUGAUAGUAAUAACUUUUUAAUUAAAAUCAAAGAUUGAAAUCAAAAGGAAAACCUAAUUCCCAAAUCUUUUUCAUAGUGACCUUUGUUCCUCCCUCCCUCAUCUUCUUCGAGUGAUUUCAGCCCCCUUUUCCUCCAUUGAAUUUGUUGUCGUGCCUUCCUUCGUCAUCCUUUUAAUCGUCCGUCUCCAUGUUUUCUCCCCCAUCCAUCUCUUAGUACGUAGCCUUUUCUCCCCCUUUGUCAUGUCAAAUUCUAACCAUUCUCAGUACUAUGCAUCAAGCCAUUAUUUUGUGUAUAAAAUAGUUGUUUUUGUAGGCUUGAUUCACCAUUAUAUAUAAAUUCCUACGAUAUGAUUUCAGUUUUUUACGUUUGACAUUUUGCGAAAGUGAUGAAAUCAAACACGAAUUUGCGUAACGGAGCAAUUCGGAUAUAGGUUCGCAAGGAACCCGGUGCUCGUGAAGAUGAAAAAAACAGGUGGUUAAUGAGCAUGGAGAUUAAAAUUGAGAUUGGGGUGUUUAUGGUUAUGAAAAGGUUGAUGUUGUUUCUAAUUGUGAUGAAGAAAUUUUUUGGGUUUUAUAUGAACAAUGUUGAAGGUGAUGAAGAUGAAGAGGAAUAGCAGGGAAGGAGAAGAAGAGAAGAAGAAACAAAAAAAAUCAGAUAUAGAUGGUUCCCUUUAACAUUCUAUGAACCUGCAAUCAAACGAUUAUAAUAAUAUUAAAAUUGUUAGACAUCAAAAAACUAACUGCGAGGAGCAGAUAGAUAACGGCAGAAGACUUAAGGGAUCCGUUUAAGACAUUUUAUAGUUAGGGGAUCAAAGUGAAAACGAAAAAUAAAUUAAAGGACCAAAUGAUGUAUUAAGUCUAUCUUUUACUAUGAGUUCUU
Molecule: long non-coding RNA, 1072 nt
Filed under: Medicago truncatula (barrel medic)
Lineage: Eukaryota; Viridiplantae; Streptophyta; Magnoliopsida; Fabales; Fabaceae
Description: long non-coding RNA (MTRU_LNC005942)
Source: RNAcentral